ACGCUGGCGGCGUGCUUAACACAUGCAAGUCGAACGGUGAACACGGAGCUUGCUCUGUGGGAUCAGUGGCGAACGGGUGAGUAACACGUGAGCAACCUGCCCCUGACUCUGGGAUAAGCGCUGGAAACGGCGUCUAAUACUGGAUAUGUGACGUGAUCGCAUGGUCUGCGUCUGGAAAGAAUUUCGGUUGGGGAUGGGCUCGCGGCCUAUCAGCUUGUUGGUGAGGUAAUGGCUCACCAAGGCGUCGACGGGUAGCCGGCCUGAGAGGGUGACCGGCCACACUGGGACUGAGACACGGCCCAGACUCCUACGGGAGGCAGCAGUGGGGAAUAUUGCACAAUGGGCGCAAGCCUGAUGCAGCAACGCCGCGUGAGGGAUGACGGCCUUCGGGUUGUAAACCUCUUUUAGCAGGGAAGAAGCGAAAGUGACGGUACCUGCAGAAAAAGCGCCGGCUAACUACGUGCCAGCAGCCGCGGUAAUACGUAGGGCGCAAGCGUUAUCCGGAAUUAUUGGGCGUAAAGAGCUCGUAGGCGGUUUGUCGCGUCUGCUGUGAAAUCCGGAGGCUCAACCUCCGGCCUGCAGUGGGUACGGGCAGACUAGAGUGCGGUAGGGGAGAUUGGAAUUCCUGGUGUAGCGGUGGAAUGCGCAGAUAUCAGGAGGAACACCGAUGGCGAAGGCAGAUCUCUGGGCCGUAACUGACGCUGAGGAGCGAAAGGGUGGGGAGCAAACAGGCUUAGAUACCCUGGUAGUCCACCCCGUAAACGUUGGGAACUAGUUGUGGGGUCCAUUCCACGGAUUCCGUGACGCAGCUAACGCAUUAAGUUCCCCGCCUGGGGAGUACGGCCGCAAGGCUAAAACUCAAAGGAAUUGACGGGGACCCGCACAAGCGGCGGAGCAUGCGGAUUAAUU
RNAcentral lists this ribosomal RNA (909 nucleotides) under Microbacterium sp. RNAcentral's name for it is "bacterial SSU rRNA". It matches the Rfam family "Bacterial small subunit ribosomal RNA", at positions 33 to 951 of the family's 1533-position model. The record is from RNAcentral. Lineage: Bacteria; Bacillati; Actinomycetota; Actinomycetes; Micrococcales; Microbacteriaceae.